RNAcentral lists this unclassified non-coding RNA (2170 nucleotides) under Hevea brasiliensis (rubber tree). The record is from RNAcentral. Lineage: Eukaryota; Viridiplantae; Streptophyta; Magnoliopsida; Malpighiales; Euphorbiaceae.
ACUCUCCCUUCUCCAUUACUUACUUUCACUAAAAAUUUCUAUUUCAUUUCCUCCUGUUAUCUUCCAUGGAGCCAUAGGUUAGGAUUCUCCAAAUGUCCAUCUAGCUCAAUUUUAUUCUCUCAAAUCCUCCUCUUUUGAAAAAAAAAAAAAAUGAGAGCCACCAAAUUCGCAACAAAUUCUUCAUCUCCAAUUGUUUCUCUCUCUCACAGCAACCCCAUGAUGAUAAAAGCUCAGUCACCUUUAUUUCUCAUAAUCACCACAAAAUGGAAAGGUGAAAUGAGGGAUUUCGACUGUCUGAGUUCUAAGUUGGCAUUAACAAUGUUUCUACCUCCUCUAAAGCUUUAAACAAAGUCCUUUACUUCCCUCAAAUAGCAAUUAACCACCCUUAAGAUACCAUUCUUGCCAAAAUCGAAAAGGGCAUAGAUUCAAAGAUUUAAAAGUCCAGACUUACUAUGAUUGAUUCUCAGAACUCCAACAACCAACCCGUGAGUGAUAGCCACUAACUUUUGCCACCUCCAAUUGCGUAAUCCAUCUCCAGCAAGUGGGAGCCAUGUUCAGGUAGCAAUUUACCAUCUUGUGUGAGUGGGCUUUGGUACCUGUAGCUUCUUCCUUCCUUGCAUUUUAUUUCUAUUCUUUUAGCAUUUUGAACUUCAAUUGCUAUGGAUAAGUGAAUUGCAACUGUGGUUUUUUAUUUUUGGAUUGCUGCUGUGAAAUGUUAUAGAUACUAGGGAAAAGGAAAUUUUAUCAAUUAACCAUAUUUCAACCUAUACAUUGGUUCAGUCAAAUUCAUAUCAUCUUGAUUAAAUGAUUGCAAACUUGGUAGCUGCAUGUGUCCCCUGUUUUGUAAAUCUAAAGUAUUUAGCAUUCUGGAGUUGUCAAGUCCUAUAUGUUCCUUGUUUAACUUACACAACUAUUUAAGGUAUUCCAGUCAGAGUAUUACAUUAAUUAGUUCUAUUUUAGGGGCUGGUAUUUUCUUGUGAACUUUAAUCAUUUGUCAUACUAAACUAUAAUCGUAGUCUUUAUUCAGUGAUGGGUUUAUUAUCUAAUCAUUCAUUUUGAUAAUUUGCUUGAUUAUGGUAUGAAGUCAAUUUUUUUGGGUUCAAAUUGUAUUAUGUAGAAAUCUAAAUUUCUUUUUAUCAAAUGACACUAGAAAAUUUUUAAAUCUUUUCAUCACUUCAAGCAUAGGCAGAACUAGCGUAUGAUUACAUUUAAACAAUGAGAAUUAGUUAGUGCCCCCAAAUGGAAGAUCUUGCAUUACUCCGCCUUUAAUUAAGCCAAGUUCCACGAAAGAAUUGAGGAACCAGCUACUGUUCCCUCAUUUUCUUCGACAAUUUUGGCACCAUUGAGAGUCUCUAGCCACCUCACACCUCCUUUAUCCAUUGCAUUGAUAUUUCUUAACCUUUGAUUAUGCUGAGAUUCUAAGAAAACAUGUAAUGGGAAAUAAAUCUGCGAAUUUCUGUGAGUUUCCAUUUGCCCAGCCCAGCGCCAUGUCAACUUGUUUCUUUUGUAGCUGCUGCCUGCCAUGGUGAUCACCAGCACAUCAACUACUUGAAAUGGUCCCUAGCAGUGCUGCUCCUCAUCUAAGAGGUAAGGCUCCCAUGUCAAUAGUGAGAUGAGUAUGUGUCUAACUCCAAACAUUACUUGCAUUCUAAAAAAAAUUGUUUCUUUCAGCAGAGAAAGUUAAAUUUCUGUUUUGAAUUUAAUUUAGAUGAGUUGUUCCCUACAAUAAUUACCCUUGAUGAUUAACUUUGCAAAUGUUGGUUAUAUACUUCUCAAAUACUUAUUAGUAGAUUUUAUGGAUUCAAUUCUUAAAAGUAGCUUAUAAUUAAAUAUGGUUAAAGUGAAUUUAUGAAAGUGGUAAUUUUAUGCAUGUGAACUGUAUGGAGCAGCUCCAAAUCCCUAAUUCUUCAUGUUCUGAUGCUUAAGUUUCAAUGUGUUGAUGAGAAGAGGAUUUGAAUGUUGGUUUGCAAUUGUUUUCUCUAAAUUCAGUAUAAAACUGAUACAUGUAAACUAUCUUUGACACUCUAUUCGAUUUCUUGACUCUCGCAACUUUUAUUCUCUUAUUCACUUUAUUUCAUGAUAAUCAAAUUCAUCUAAGUUAUGAUUUGGGCUUUUACUGAAAUGUAAUGAAUAUUGUUAUUUUAAUUGAGCUUUGGCUAUUAUGGGUUCA